RNAcentral lists this ribosomal RNA (497 nucleotides) under uncultured bacterium. RNAcentral describes it as "partial 16S ribosomal RNA". It matches the Rfam family "Bacterial small subunit ribosomal RNA", at positions 28 to 507 of the family's 1533-position model. The record is from RNAcentral.
GAUGAACGCUGGCGGCGUGCCUAAUACAUGCAAGUCGAGCGAACAGACGAGGAGCUUGCUCCUCUGACGUUAGCGGCGGACGGGUGAGUAACACGUGGAUAACCUACCUAUAAGACUGGGAUAACUUCGGGAAACCGGAGCUAAUACCGGAUAAUAUAUUGAACCGCAUGGUUCAAUAGUGAAAGACGGUUUUGCUGUCACUUAUAGAUGGAUCCGCGCCGCAUUAGCUAGUUGGUAAGGUAACGGCUUACCAAGGCGACGAUGCGUAGCCGACCUGAGAGGGUGAUCGGUCACACUGGAACUGAGACACGGUCCAGACUCCUACGGGAGGCAGCAGUAGGGAAUCUUCCGCAAUGGGCGAAAGCCUGACGGAGCAACGCCGCGUGAGUGAUGAAGGUCUUCGGAUCGUAAAACUCUGUUAUUAGGGAAGAACAAAUGUGUAAGUAACUAUGCACGUCUUGACGGUACCUAAUCAGAAAGCCACGGCUAACUACGUG